Ictalurus furcatus (blue catfish) is the source of this 1098-nucleotide long non-coding RNA. RefSeq lists it as uncharacterized. Lineage: Eukaryota; Metazoa; Chordata; Actinopteri; Siluriformes; Ictaluridae. The record is from RefSeq and is a predicted model, not a curated record. The transcript is spliced from 3 exons.
CUUCUGCUUAUUAUUGCAUUUUGAUCUGACCAUUAUUGAGCGAGCAAGGACCUUAGCUGUCUCUGUACUUUUCUUCUUUAUCAUGGUCUGGGGAAACAGAACCACGUGAGGAGAAGAAGAAGAAGGAGAAGGAGGGGGGAAAGACAGCAACAUGGAGAAAGACGGACUGGAAAGUCUUCUGGUUCAGGGGCCACUGAGAAAGCUGUUCUGGACAUUAGACCCAUCCAACAAGACCUGAGAGAUCUACAGCUCAACAUGCUGGAUAUAAAAAGAACUGAAAAGCUGAUAUGGAAAAAUGAUUGUGUAGUAAAAGAGUGUGACAGAAUACUGAGUACCUUAAAUCAAAUGACAGCUGAAGCUGAAAUGUUAAAAGAACGUGCUAAAUACAGGAGGACUGAAUACAUUAGGAAAUUAAAUCAGAGACAUGGGAGAAUAGUGAGACUCUCUAAUCUUGCUAGACAAAUAGAUGAAAUGGAAAGACUGAUAGAACGCUUAAAUCUGAAGAAAGCCCAGUAAAAAAACAGACAUCCUGUUUCUAGUUCCUGUUUUUUACAGCCAGCGCUAAAAACACACACAGCUUUAAGAGUACUCAAAAACCACAAUCCCCCAACCUCUGUUUAUCUGUUUCUUGUGAAGGAAGAAAAACUAUCGGAUCCUGCGCGAUCAAAAAAGGGGAUAUUUUUAUGUCUCUUCUUAAAAGAAAACUAUUUUCAGACUCUGAAUAGUCGCUGGUUUUUCUUUAUUUUAUUUUCUUUAUAUUCUGAGUUAAGAUAAUUGGAAUCCUUAUUGUUCUUUAAUAAACCGAAGUCCAUUCAAAGGGACGAUUCGUAUAUCUUACUCCCGUGAGUAAAAUUCCUUUUCUACACACACCUUCAGCGAAAGGGAAAGGAUUUCAUUUGUUCUCUCGCCCAGCAGCACAAGACUCCGCCUCUGAGAAGCUGAUCUUUCCACCAUCCCCCCAUGACUCAAGCCUGGACCCGAACACUCACCAUCAACCAGCACAUCCCACUGCUGAUCCAUCUCUCCUGAAUGACAUCCCACAAGCUGAGUCCGGUGUUCCUGGUCUCCCUCAUUCACAAUAAAUUCUCAUUCUCCACA